ACUUAAGAUUGUGAAAAUGUGAAAAAGAUAUAAUUUGUGAUACGACGAAGAUGUCACAACUUCUUAUUUUCUUUGUCGACGACUUGUACAGUAAUACGAUUUUAAAAACACGAGAGUUUUUAUAAUUUACAUAAUAAUAUUAUAUGUGUAUAUCAUAUUUUUAAAGUAUUUAUAAGUUAAUAUAAGCACAUUAACUUCAACUUUUGAAUUCGUCAAAACUAUGAGUUUUUAAUUUUAUUCACAGAAUAAGCAGUAUACUUUUUAAAAUUACACACACACAUUUGUUGUCUCCGUCCUACCUUCAAUGCACAACACAACAAAUGUCCAUUCAGCAGUUUUACAUUUUGUAUGUUUAUAACAAUAUUUAAAUUCGAUAUUGAAGUAAAAUGUGAAAAUUUAUUAGCAUAUAUUCAUUAUGGACCAAAACAAUAGAGUGCAAUCAACGGAGGUGUACGUCGACGUGGCGGCAGAGGUGACCCAGAAAUGUCUAAAACUCGCAAAAAAAUAAGAAAAAUAACCAAUUGGAGUUUAAAAUAUUAUAAAAUACUGAUUGGCUGACCACCUACAACGAAACCCAUUGUGCUAUAUGCACAUAAUAUAAUAUGUACAAUGUACAUUGUACGUAUAUACAGUAAGUGUUUUGUCCAGAUGACAACUAGUUCCGUUAUGCAUAGUUUGAGUAAGUAACCAUUUCAUGAAAUGUUAUCCAGAUAGUGGAAUUAUACAAAGUGGAUAAAAAGUGUUUCCAUUUCGUGAAAUGUACAAUUAUGCCAUUGGAUGCAACAUAUGUAAUUUAUUAUAUUGUAAUUUGCAGUAAG
Melanaphis sacchari is the source of this 818-nucleotide long non-coding RNA. RefSeq lists it as uncharacterized. NCBI's taxonomy places the organism in Eukaryota, Metazoa, Arthropoda, Insecta, Hemiptera, Aphididae. The record is from RefSeq and is a predicted model, not a curated record. The transcript is spliced from 4 exons.